Molecule: non-coding RNA, 76 nt
Organism: Vigna radiata var. radiata (mung bean)
Lineage: Eukaryota; Viridiplantae; Streptophyta; Magnoliopsida; Fabales; Fabaceae
Source: Rfam
CAUUGAAGUGAUGAUACUUUUUCCGAAUUUAAUGAAUGUGGAUUUAUUCAAUCAGACUACAAUUAUCUGAUCAAUG